Molecule: ribosomal RNA, 468 nt
Filed under: uncultured bacterium
Lineage: Bacteria
Description: partial 16S ribosomal RNA
Rfam family: Bacterial small subunit ribosomal RNA
Source: RNAcentral
GACGAACGCUGGCGGCGUGCUUAACACAUGCAAGUCGAACGGAAAGGCCCUGCUUUUGUGGGGUGCUCGAGUGGCGAACGGGUGAGUAACACGUGAGUAACCUGCCCUUGACUUUGGGAUAACUUCAGGAAACUGGGGCUAAUACCGGAUAGGAGCUCCUGCUGCAUGGUGGGGGUUGGAAAGUUUCGGCGGUUGGGGAUGGACUCGCGGCUUAUCAGCUUGUUGGUGGGGUAGUGGCUUACCAAGGCUUUGACGGGUAGCCGGCCUGAGAGGGUGACCGGCCACAUUGGGACUGGGGUACGGCCCAGACUCCUACCGGAGGCAGCAGGGGGGAAUAUUGCACAAUGGGGGGAAGCCUGAGGCAGAAACGCCGGGUGCGGGAAGACGGCCUUCGGGUUGUAAACCGCUUUCGCCUGUGACGAAGCGUUCGUGACGGUAAUGGGUAAAGAAGCACCGGCUAACUACGUG